AAAGUUAAUUUAUUUGGAAGUGAGGAUUGGUAUGGUCAUUUAUUCUCCCUAUUAUUAUUUCCUUUCUUCUUCUUUCCCCCUGUCUUUGGAAAGUUCUCACCUCUCACACCAUUCUUUGGCACUACCACCUCUCGACCGCCGUGGCGCUGCUUGACUCAUCGGAUGACGACCAACAAGCCUUGCCAUUUGCCGUCCUUGCAAAUUUGAAGGUUGAAGUUUCCACGUCGUUGUUGCCCAAUUCGCGUUGCACAACCAGUACUUCAACACCCGCCCCUUCAGCCACCGUGCACGCCAACUCACUGGAAAUCAACUCAAAGGCUAUUCACAUUCAUUCUCCACUCAAAUCUGCCGCUUAACGUAAGAUCAAUUCGGGUUGUUUUAAGGUGCUUGUUUUUUAUUUCCCAUUAAGUUUCAAGUUGAUUUUCACAAUACCUAUUAUAUUUUGAUGUUAGAUUCAAAUUUUAGAGGAGUUUGGGCCAUUGUCUAGCCAUUCAGAAGCUUGAAAAUUAGGAAUUUUGGCAUAAUUUGGGUAAGAUGCUAAGUUUUUUGGAGUCGAUUUUGAGUACCCAUCUAAUCUUAGUUAUAGCAUUGAGUAACCCGUGAUGGUAGAUUCUUAAUUUUGAACAUAGAAAGUGGUUAGAAUGUUGUCCAUUGAAGUUAAGAGUACUUUGCUAAGUUCUUGGUAAGGUUUGGAGUAACUUUAUAGAUUUGUUUCUAGAGUUCUUGAAUGCCCAUUAAGUUGAAGUGUUAAAAUUGAAUUAUGCAAGAUACUUAGAUCCUAGAGUUGAAUGUUAGAGGUUGAAAAUGCGUUUUUCAUUAACUUGGAGUUCAUUUGGGUGUUACUUAUAUGAGGUUUGAAAUAUAAAUAGUUUGGAUGAUCUUAGGAAGUGUUUAAGUUGUUUGACUCAUGGUAAUAUAAUGGAUAUAAAUUCCAAACAUCAUCGGUAAUAGGGUUAACGUGAAUCUACAUAAAAGACCUGUUGAGUUUUAACUAAGUCGGAUACUCAUGGGGUUAAGUAUUUAGAUUUCAAGUCUAAGGGUUCAUAGGUGAAAAGUUUACUCUAAUCUAUGGCAACUGAGAAUUCAAAACUUUAGAAACAUAAAAUUGGUUGAGUUGGCCUUGUAUGAAGUGUUUUGAAAAUUAAUAUUGUAGCCUUGUGACAUGUGACGAUAAUUGAUGUGACCUUAAUCGUUGUUUUAGGCCAAAUUGAAGUGGAAAAAACAUAUAAUCACGGGGGAUCGAAUCAUUGAUAAUGAGUGGUUUAUUUUCAAGUAUUUUCGUUAUAAGUUUUUAGAUGUUAUUAUAAUCUGCUAUGAUUGUGACAAUUACCCAUAUGAUUGUUUUAUGAUCCAUAUGUUAGAAGUGUUUUCGAACAUGAUUUUCAGUUUUUCAUGAACUCUUGUAUUUUUGAACUGUGGUUGAACCCAAACUUACCAAGUAAGAUUUAGAUGACAACUGACUUCUAAAAUACUCAUUGAUUUAUUAUUAAACUUAAAGGAUUUCUAAAAGUAUAUGUUGAUAUCUAGGGAUUAAAAAUGUGUUUUUAACCAUGUUUGGUUUUAAAAUUUAUAAACAUGUGAUGUUUAUGAAAUAAUGUUAAUGAUUUACCCAAAGGCUACGUGAAUGUGUUUAGUAGCGCCACCUAUGGUUGUUAGGGGGUUUCGGGGCUAAGAGGUCGUGACUAGAGAUCCGAGAACCUGAGCUUAGGUGAAGACAUUGAUAGGAUGAUUGUGAUUUGACUUCGGUCCUAGCUGAACCCAGAAUGGAUGGUUCUAUGUACACAUAGAAGCGGAUAUGGAGGUUGUUACUAUGGUAGAUGCUAAGUAUGAGUGAGCUUAGUUUGACCGUGUGUUUCCUUGUGAAUAUCGAUAACGUAUGAGCGAGUCUCACUCGUGUAUUUAGUAUUCUAUCAUGGUUGGAUUGGAUGAAGGUUGUUACUGUGGCAGGUACUAAAUAUGUGUGAGCUCAGCUUGGCUGCAUGUUUCCUUGUGGAUAUGGAUCAUGUGUGAGCUAUUUUCGGUCGUGUAUUUAGUAUUCUAUCAUGGUUGGAUUGAAUGGAGGUUGCUAAUGUGGUAGGUGCUAAAUAUUGCGUGAGCUCAGUUUGGCUAUGUGUUUUCUUAUGGAUAUGGAUCAUGUGUGAGCAGUUUGGCUACGUGUUUUCUUAUGGAUAUGGAUCAUGUGUGAGCUAUUAUCGACCCUGUAUGUAGUAUUUUAUCAUGGUUGGAUUGGAUAGAGGUUGCUAUUAUGGUAGAUACUAGAUAUAUGUGAGCUCAGUUUGGCCACAUGAUUCCUUGAUCAUGUGUGAGCUAUUCUUGACCAUAUAUUUGGACGCUCGGCUAUGGUAGACCUUAUAUGGUACAUGUUUGUUGGCGAAUACUUGCGGUUUAUGGUAGUAUAUGAUUUUAACAUUUUAGUUAGUAUUUCAUUGUUGAUGUCAUAUUUAAACAGUUUGAGAGCAUGUUUCACGAGCUUUUACUUUUAAAAACAUGUCACUAGCACACUGAGUUUUAGCUUACAUUUUCAAUAUUUUUCUUCCCCCAAUAAUGGUCAAGGUCCAAGCAUUCGUUGAGCUUCUCAUCACUAUUUGUAGAUUCUCAUUUCUUUUAUAAUCUACUUAAGUUUUGUAUUGUAUUAUGAGGUUGUCAAGGUGGCAAGGUUCAUGCUAUAGAUAUGUGUUUGAUAGAUCUAUUAGUGGACUUCAAUCCUUUUUUAACUACAUUUUUAGUUGGAUAUAAACUCUGAUUGAGAUUCUAGACUACUUUGGAUGAGUGUAUGGUGAGACACACUCGAUGUACUUUUUGUGUUUGAAGAUUUCUUAUACAUAGAAGUGAAAAAUUCUUCCAUUUUCAAGUUUGACUAACCCAUAUUUUAGGGAAAAUGCUACCAAAAUUUUCAUAGAAUUUCUUGAAAAGUGUUUUAUUAAUCUUACAUUUGAAAAUGAAUGUUUUUAAAGAGUAAAUUCACACCACAAUCUAGGUUAGAGGAGAAACCUAGAACGAGUGUGACAUUUUGGUAUCAGAGCAUGAUUUUGGAAAACUUAAGGGGGCAUUUGGGGGAAGGAAAGGAAUAAAGGGGAAAGGAAUAUAGAAAGUGGGGAAUUAUGAAAAGAAAAUGAUUAUUAUAAUUCUUGUUUGAGGGAAGGAAUAAGUAGAAGAAAUAUAGGGGAUUGAGAUAAACCUUGUUUGGGGGAAUAAUUAUAUGGGAAGAAUUAUGACAAAAAAUUAUUAUUAUUAUUAUUUAAUUUGUACUAUUGGGGUGCCUUGCAUAAGACACACAUAUCAAUCUAAUGCUCCCGAAUGAUGCACAAUAAGUGACCGUACAACACCUGCAAGACACACUUCCCAAUAGAAAAUUAACAAUUUUCCCUAAGUCCAAUCGAAACAUCUUAUCAAUCAAUCGAUCAUAAUACAGUCCAACUAUAUCAACGUAUAAUCUUCUCCCUCAAUACAUUAACAAUCAACCUAUUCUUUUUGCUUAGUGUCAAUCAGUAUCAUAUCGACACAUCAUUGCUUAGUGUCAAUCAGUACCAUAUCGACACAUCAGACCGACUAUGCAAUCAUCAUACCCCUCAGCUCACCAGUACACUGCUACACUUUAGUAUAACCUAUACUCAGUCAGACGACAAUCACAAGUUCAUGACCACAUCUCUUACAAACACAAACUACAAUUGUCAUCCUAUCUACAUCCAUAUAUAUAUAUAUAUAUAUUACCAGACAAUCACAAUAUGCAUUCAACAUCAAGUCUAAGUCAAUCCAUGUAUAUAUAUAUUUCCGGUCAAUCACGGUAUAUAUUCAACACCAAGUCUACAUUCAUACGUAUAUAUCGUUUUCGACAUCUCUACUCAAUCAGAGAUAACUAUACACUCUGGCACAAUUCAAAACUAAUCAGAGAUAACUAUACACUCAGCACAAUUCAAAACUAUAGAUGAGUCUAGUGGUAGAGAGUCCCUUACAUGACUUGUAUGCAAGUUCUUCAAUCCAACUAUACUCAAUAAUUCAAAUCCUAAACAUAAAUAACAUGAGAAUCAACAUCUUUCUAAAUAAUUUCAUCUAUUCAAUUUACCCUAUAUGUAAACUCCACAACUUACCCAAAAAGUGGAGGGUCGAACUCAACUCAACCCCGUUUGAAACUCAAGGAUUCGCCCACUGAUUCAAUGUAUGCCUUCUAGGUUAAAGUAUUUUUUUUCAAUGAUUACAUCCAAUAGUUAACAUUUAACGAUAAGCACGAAAGAAAAAAAACAACGGAACCCACAAUUUAUCCUUAACUCAAAUAUUUUCACCUAAACCCACAGUAAGGCAGGAGCAGCGAUCGAAGAAUAAUCACGCAUGAUAGGAAGGGAACCCACGCCGCUGGAAGGAGACGCACGCGCUGCCUCACAAUCGAUCGACGAGCUAACGCCGCGGCUGGGCUUCACGAAUGGAGAUCGGUGCAGACAAAACUGAACAAAGGCACGACGGUUGCGGAUGGAGAGGCGGUGUGGCCCGACUGGGUUUCGCCGGACGGGAUUCGCUCGGCUAGUGCAAGGCGACGGCAGAGAAGGAUGAAUGGAGAAGAAGAGGGAGAGGAAGCAGGUGGAGCGGCCGGCGACUAGGGCAAGAAGAAGGAGAAAACGAAGAAGACGGUGUGGGGGGGGGGGGGGGGGGGGGUCGCGUAUGUGAAGAAGAAAAAAGAUUUUCCCUUCUUUUAUAUAUAAUAAUAAUAAUAAUAAUAAACAAUAACUAUUAUUAUUACUACUUCUAUUCAUCAAUAACCAAUUUUCUUUUCCUUCAAUCCUAUAAUAUAACAACACCCCACAAAAUUUAAAAUCUUUAAAUAAAACUGCAAAUUGUUU
Molecule: long non-coding RNA, 4832 nt
Filed under: Cucumis sativus (cucumber)
Lineage: Eukaryota; Viridiplantae; Streptophyta; Magnoliopsida; Cucurbitales; Cucurbitaceae
Description: long non-coding RNA (CSAT_LNC000213)
Source: RNAcentral